This is a long non-coding RNA of Pezoporus flaviventris, 1182 nucleotides long. RefSeq lists it as uncharacterized. Lineage: Eukaryota; Metazoa; Chordata; Aves; Psittaciformes; Psittacidae. The record is from RefSeq and is a predicted model, not a curated record. The transcript is spliced from 3 exons.
AAAUAUUUACUUUGCCCAUCACAAAUGUGAAUUUGAGUCUACAAAGCCAGCCUUCUCAGCCAGCCUGUAACUGGGAUGCAUCCUUUGUCAAGCUUUGUUUGUGCUUACUCAGUUUAGGAGUAAAUAUCUCCAAGUACACUUCCAAUAGGACAUGGCAAACAGUCUUUAUUAAAUAGUGGUAUCUUGAAUGGAGGGGUGGAAUAGCAGUGAGAAGAAACCCCAUAGACAGUGAGGGCAUCCUGUGACAAUGUGAUUCCUUAAGCCAGGCUGUGCAGAUGAGGUAAGAUUACCCUUAGCUUGCUUAUGAGCUAGGCAGGGAUUGCAGCAACCAAACAUAAAGCCCAGCACAACCUGUGAGCAAAAGCUCUUAUACCAGGUCUGCUGGCUUGGGAGACAGAAGAGUGGUGUGAAGGCCUGCAAGGGCAUAGCAGAUGUCACUCGGUGGGCAUGUGCAUGCCCUGGCUCUAAUUGGGCAGGUUUCUGAGCCUUUGAGCCUUGCAAACAUGGAGCUCCUGCUCAAAGCUGAGGAAAAGAGCUGACUCUGAGUUCCUGCAUCCCAAAGGCAUGCUUGAAACCCUAAGAAAGAGUACAAUUCUGUGGAUGUAAAGCAGACAGACACACCUGGAAGAGGAAACACCAGUGCAAAACAAGGGACUUGCCAUUAAGGGCUGCAUGAGAUGGCUCCUGCUCAAGGCAGGCAUCUGGCCACCCUGGGAAGUCCAUGAGAGGAGACUGAAGUAGUGAAACCCUACAGCUUUCAGAGAUUUCGGAAGGGACGCCAUGACUGAACAUGCCUGGUUAAGCAGUUAUUUGCCUCUGCAAGCAACUCAGACCUCCUUGUGGUCUGUUGGUGAGAGCACUGCCUGCAAAAUCAGACUUCAGUGACUGAUAAACACACAAAUAACUCAAUUGCUGGGGGGUAUGUAAGCGUCUUGGACACUCACAGGCGCUAACAUGACUCCUGCGCAGAGCUCUCCAGUUGUUGUGUGCUCAGGUCUGGGUUUCCCAACAGAGGUUUGCUGCUCGCUGCCUGCACCCUGGAAGGAAGCUGUCACCUGAGGAAAACCUCUCUGAACUACAGUAAGUAGCAGUAGGGAAAUACCUUACAUCAGAGGCUGAAGGUGCCACUUUGUUAUGCUCUCUAACUGCAUGAGGCAGAUGUCUUUGCUUGCAUGGCUGAUG